This 572-nucleotide ribosomal RNA is filed under the name uncultured bacterium. RNAcentral's name for it is "bacterial SSU rRNA". It matches the Rfam family "Bacterial small subunit ribosomal RNA", at positions 240 to 803 of the family's 1533-position model. The record is from RNAcentral.
AUUAGCUAGUUGGUGGGGUAAAGGCCCACCAAGGCGACGAUCUGUAACUGGUCUGAGAGGAUGAUCAGUCACACCGGAACUGAGACACGGUCCGGACUCCUACGGGAGGCAGCAGUGGGGAAUAUUGGACAAUGGGGGCAACCCUGAUCCAGCCAUGCCGCGUGUGUGAAGAAGGCCUUUUGGUUGUAAAGCACUUUAAGCAGGGAGGAGAGGCUAAUGGUUAAUACCCAUUAGAUUAGACGUUACCUGCAGAAUAAGCACCGGCUAACUCUGUGCCAGCAGCCGCGGUAAUACAGAGGGUGCGAGCGUUUAUCGGAAUUACUGGGCGUAAAGCGAGUGUAGGUGGCUCAUUAAGUCACAUGUGAAAUCCCCGGGCUUAACCUGGGAACUGCAUGUGAUACUGGUGGUGCUAGAAUAUGUGAGAGGGAAGUAGAAUUCCAGGUGUAGCGGUGAAAUGCGUAGAGAUCUGGAGGAAUACCGAUGGCGAAGGCAGCUUCCUGGCAUAAUAUUGACACUGAGAUUCGAAAGCGUGGGUAGCAAACAGGAUUAGAUACCCUGGUAGUCCACGCCGU